CCUAAAGAGUAACGGAGGAGCACGAAGGUUGGCUAAUCCUGGUCGGACAUCAGGAGGUUAGUGCAAUGGCAUAAGCCAGCUUGACUGCGAGCGUGACGGCGCGAGCAGGUGCGAAAGCAGGUCAUAGUGAUCCGGUGGUUCUGAAUGGAAGGGCCAUCGCUCAACGGAUAAAAGGUACUCCGGGGAUAACAGGCUGAUACCGCCCAAGAGUUCAUAUCGACGGCGGUGUUUGGCACCUCGAUGUCGGCUCAUCACAUCCUGGGGCUGAAGUAGGUCCCAAGGGUAUGGCUGUUCGCCAUUUAAAGUGGUACGCGAGCUGGGUUUAGAACGUCGUGAGACAGUUCGGUCCCUAUCUGCCGUGGGCGCUGGAGAACUGAGGGGGGCUGCUCCUAGUACGAGAGGACCGGAGUGGACGCAUCACUGGUGUUCGGGUUGUCAUGCCAAUGGCACUGCCCGGUAGCUAAAUGCGGAAGAGAUAAGUGCUGAAAGCAUCUAAGCACGAAACUUGCCCCGAGAUGAGUUCUCCCUGACUCCUUGAGAGUCCUGAAGGAACGUUGAAGACGACGACGUUGAUAGGCCGGGUGUGUAAGCGCAGCGAUGCGUUGAGCUAACCGGUACUAAUGAACCGUGAGG
Molecule: ribosomal RNA, 633 nt
Filed under: Escherichia coli
Lineage: Bacteria; Pseudomonadati; Pseudomonadota; Gammaproteobacteria; Enterobacterales; Enterobacteriaceae
Description: partial 23S ribosomal RNA
Rfam family: Bacterial large subunit ribosomal RNA
Source: RNAcentral